RNAcentral lists this ribosomal RNA (440 nucleotides) under uncultured bacterium. RNAcentral describes it as "partial 16S ribosomal RNA". It matches the Rfam family "Bacterial small subunit ribosomal RNA", at positions 338 to 795 of the family's 1533-position model. The record is from RNAcentral.
CCUACGGGAGGCUGCAGUGGGGAAUAUUGCACAAUGGGGGAAACCCUGAUGCAGCAACGCCGCGUGAGGGAAGAAGUAUUUCGGUAUGUAAAGCUCUAUCAGCAGGGAAGAAAAUGACGGUACUAGAUUAAGAAGACCCGGCUAACGACGUGCCAGCAGCCGCGGUAAUACGUAGGGGGCAAGCGUUAUCCGGAUUUACUGGGUGUAAAGGGAGCGUAGACGGCAGAACAAGUCUGGAGUGAAAUGCCAGGGCUUAACCCCGGAACUGCUUUGGAAACUGUGCUGCUAGAGUGCAGGAGAGGUAAGUGGAAUUGCUAGGGUAGCGGUGAAAUGCGUAGAUAGUAGGAGGAACACCAGUGGCGAAGGCGGCUUACUGGACUGUAACUGACGUUGAGGCUCGAAAGCGUGGGGAGCAAACAGGAUUAGAUACCCCAGUAGUC